AGUCACGCGAGGCUGGCUUGCUGGAACCGGCUAGAAAAUGCAGCCCUGCCUGCCGCAGGGAUCUCCUCCGGUAUGGCCACACAUAUGAGUUCUGGCAAUGCCCAUUAGUGAUAUGGCCGAUAGUUUCUUCUGUCUUGCUUCCAGGAACCUUUUCUUGGUUUGAAGCCACCGAACCAGAAGAGAGAAUUUUUACCACUUUGAGGACUUCUUGUGACGAAUCCAAUGGGAAUUCCAUAAUAUUCAGAAACAAAACAUUUUGAGGGCCAACAAAUUAUUAAGCCCUUUGCUAGGUCUUAGAGAUACAAAGAUAAAGAAGACUGGAGUUUUCUUUUUAUUAUCUACCAGACUGAAGGCCACUGCCUGGGGACUUGAUCUAAGAGAAGAAAUAUCAGGAGACCUGGGUUUGGCUCCUGGCUCUGCCAGGUGAUCAUGGAGCAGUCACGUAUUAUCCCUGAGCUUCCGUUUCCUCAUCUACUUAAUUAGUGAUGGGUCUACAGGGCCUUGCUGGGGUCCACUUCUGACAUUCUGUGUUGUUGUCCGGAAAAGGAAGAGGAUGACACUGAUGACCAGCCGUCUUGGGUGGUUCACAGGCUCACUAAGGAGGCAGUGUUGAGCCUGACGGAUCUGUGAAGGCCCCUCCGACUUGUAACUGUAAAAUGAUGACUCUUGAUGGAACUCUACAGUUGUUGACACCUGGUGGGCCACCUACAGCUGAAGGUUCAAAGUGAUAAAACAAACCUGGUACGGAAAUAACUGAUUGUGGAACGCGAAGGACCUGUGAUCAUGCAAAGGUGACAGAGCAGGUAAAAUGUUUUGGACAAGAGGGAGAGAGUUUGCAGGUAAAGAACCUAUAAGGGGCAGAAAGAGGAAUGCAGGACACUUCGGGAUGUGGGUCACAUUUUGUCCUGGAAUCAGUACUUACCAGCUUAGUCUGAGGCCUUGGGACAGAAGUGCUGCUCAUAAAAGUAAAUUGUGUUUCUGCAAUGAAAUCUCUGAAACUUCAGGAGAAGAGCACUUGGUCAGCUUGCUUGGGGUUACUAGUUCAGUGGUGACAUACAAGUGUGUGUGUGUGUGUGUGUGUGUGUGCACGUGCAUGCGCAUAUUUGUGUGUUUAGACGGUGUGUGCUCACUGCUUCAGAGAGCAGUUUCAGGGCCAUCUGUUUUGAGCUCAGUGUGACUCCAGAUAACCAAGAGUAGGAAACAACUCUGGGGUGAUGAUGGCAGCAACAGUGACCUCAAAGUAAAGUGGUGAGUAUUUUUUUACUAUCUUCCCUGAUUGUGUGGGACCCUCAAAUAUUUCCCCAAUUAUUUCUGGGAAUCCUAAAGAGCUACCUCUUAAGUCCUCUAAGCAAAUUAUCUCAGCAGCCUGAGAAAAGGGACUUGCCAUUUUCCCUCUUCUCUGCCUCUGAAUCCAUUUGGUAAUUAUGGCCAAGAAGUCACAUGUAGACUGCAUUGCAGUGGGGUGUGGCUGAGAGGACUUGCUUUAGGGUGGAGCGAAGUAACAUGCUAUUAAUCUGUUCAUGUAACCAAGCAAUCUGUCUUUUAUUCUACAUAUUGUCACAUAGUCCAUAGAGCAUUCAAGGCCUGGAAAGAAAAGAACACUAACAACAAAACCAAAACAAGUAGACAAACAAAACAACUUCAAAAUACAGCUCCUGUUCUGUAGGAGCACAUAGUCCAUUGGAGGUCCACUUACACACACACACACACACACACACACACACAAGGGUGGUGUAAACAGUGGUGCUGGAGUCUCCUGAGAUUGUGCCCGGCAGCACGGCAUCAGGAAAGACCCCAUGGGAGCAGAAAUUUUGAGAUUGGAGCCCUAUUUUGAAGGAAGAGUAACAUUUGGACAGGUUCAGGUGAAAGGAGGGAGAACUUCCUAGGUAGAGAAGUGGCAUGUGGCAGGAACUUGCAUGGCGAGAAGCUGAAGCCAGCUGUUUGGUUGGUAGGAAGAUCAGUUUUCCAGGAGCAGGCAGUCAGUGUAGACAAUCCACACUGGCGAGGUAGCCUGGAGUUAGGCUGUGGAGGACUUUAAGGACAGUCUCAUUGGAUCUGGGGCCCACCCUAAUGCAGGAUUAUCUUAUUCCAAUCCUUACCUUAAUCAUGUCUGCAAAGAUGGCAUUUCCAAAUCAGGUCACAUUCUGAGGCUUUGGUGGAGGUGAAUUUUUGGGAGAUGUUAUUUAAUUCACUACAGAUGAGUUAAGAUUGGGGCUGAUUAUAAACUGCUAUAAUUGGGGUAACAAGGAAAGGCUUUUUGGAGGGAAUCAUAUUUGAGUUGAGACUUGACCAAGGACAAGGAAGAAGCCAUGUGAAUGUAAAUAAGCAGAAGGAACACCAACAGUCAAGACCUUAAGAUGACAAUAAGUUUAGUGUUUAGAAAGAAUGACAGCUUUUUUUGUCCUCUGUGAUGUGAAUUUUCUCCCUUGAAAUGGUGCUAAAGCAUUUAAGCCUAAAGAGACAAAAUAGGAGACAAUCUUGGAAUUGAAUCCACUCAAUCUGCCUGCUGCUCUUGCUAAGGUCAAGGCUGUGCUGUGGAUGAACAUGACCUCGACUGAAAGUAUUUGAAUGCUAUUGGUGCCCCAUGAAAUGAACUAAAUUAUUUCACGAUUCUCUUCCUCUGCUAAACUUUGUUCUCAGAAAUUAGAAGCCCAGAAAAGUAGCUCACACUCAGUAUUCAAACUCUCAUUGCAAUGGAAGCAGCAUUGCAGAAUUUAUUUAGUGCAGAGAGUUGGGAAAUUUGGGUUUUAAAUCCCAACUUUAACAGUGGCCAACCAUGCCUUUUAGGUAAGUCUCUUUACCUCUCUAGGCCUCAGUUUUCCUCAUCUGUAAGGCAAUGUUGGACCAGGUCAUGUGAGGGCUGAGGCAGAGUGGGACCCUUCCAACUCUGGCUUCCUAGCUUCACAGAAUGCCCCAGGAAUUGUCUGGCCUUCGCAGGAUCUUCCCAGAGUUCAUGGACACAUUUGGCUCUUGGGUAGCCAAGGCUCUGAGUGUAGAAUAGUAAAACCAAUAUGCAUGAGGGUACUUGUGAAUACACUCCCACCUAAACUUGACCUCUAAUGUGAGGCCCAGUUUCUGAGUGUGGAUUUACAAAGGCUUUCCUCUGUACACUUCUCCUUGCACCUGGAGAAUCUGCUUGUGGACUUUCAGAUCUACCAACUACCUUCCACAGAGCUCUCUGAGACAGGGAAGGAAAACCAGGCUUUACAGCUAGACCAGGACUUUGUUAAUAAGACGAUUGUUCACAGCUAUAUGUUUACCACAACCUCUUUUAGCUUUGCCUGUAAUUACCUUGGCCCUAUGCACUGAAGAAUCUGUCUGCACUGCAGCGGGACUCUUAAGUUCCCAUUGAUUCUGAGUAAGUCCCAAAUAUAUUUUUAUUCUGUCCUCUGGUAUUCUGCUGAGCAGAGGGCAGAGUGUCUCUUUCCUGCUCUGUGCAGGAGGUGAUGAGCUCCUUGAGUGGUUCUGCUACUAGCUCACUGGUGACCUGGUGACCAUCUCAUUCUAGUCGGCCCAGGACAAUCCCAGCUUGAAAAUGGAAAAUUCUGGAUCCUGGAAAACCCCUCAGUCUUGAGCAAACUGGGAGAUUGGCACUCUACAGCAGUGCAUCAGGGUUGCUCGGAGUCCAGUAACAAAUUUGGAGACUAAGACGGUGGCUCACGCCUAUACUCCCAGCACUUUGGAAGGCCAAGGUGGGCAGAUCACCUAAGGUCGGGAGUUCAAGACCAGCCUGUCCAACAUGGAGAAACCCCAUCUCUACUAAAAACACAAAAUUAGCUGGGUGUGGUGGCACAUGCCUGUAAUCCCAGCUACUCGGGAGGUUGCGGUGAGUGGAGAUCGCGCCAUUGCACUCUAGCCUGGGCAACAAGAGCGAAACUCUGUCUCAAAAAAAAGAAAAAAAAUAAACUGGAGACAAAGCAUUAAUCCUAACAGAAGGCAAUGCAGAUCCACAGGCAGUGCCACGGAGCCAGCUGUGAGCCCUGCUACUGCUCCCUUCUCCCAAGGCAUCCCCCUGCAAGGCUGCACAACGCUAUGCUGAGCACGGGGAGUCUCUGGACGCCUCUGCCUAGCUGCUUGACUGGAAAUCUACCCACAUUUAGAUUUUCUAGUAAUACUCACUCUAUUUUUCUUAAGAGACCCUGGCUGACUAAAACAAUAUAUAGCAACAUAAUACAUUCUGUAAGGAAAAUCAGUAGGAAUUCCUCACUCUGAAAAACAUCUUUACUGGCUCUGUCACAAAAUAGGCCCUAAGUGGCGGUAGUGAAAGGACCAGCAUUUCUCUUCACUGCUGAUGCACAGGUGAGAAGCUUGAAUUGUGAUUUCUGAUGCUAUUCUUUUCUCAAAGCAAUCAAAUUUUCUUGGAAGUUAGUUAAUUGCAGUCUUAGGGAAAAAAAAAGCGAGGAUGGCUUGGAACAUCUUUUUGUUGUGGACUGAAAAAAAGGAGUGUUCGAGAAUAUCAGAGGCAGUACUUAAAGGAGUUUUUGCUAGCCCCACUGUGAAAAUGUGAACAUCAAAUAAAAGGCAAUCACGGCUUCAUUAAUGCAAGUUGUUUUUGUGAAAGGCUAUGAGUUUGGUAUAAUACUCUAAUGAGAUAAGUGUAUAAAAACAUAGCUAUCAUACAAAAAGAGGUGAAUAUAACAGACAAGCAAAUUAGUAUACGUAGAUAUUCUGGCUUUUAAAAAAUAUUAAGUAUAUGUCUGUUUUAAAAUAUUGAUUUGUAUUUGUUUCGUUCUGCACAAGCAGGAGAGAAUAAACUGAGGGACCUGAGAGUCAGCCAUGACGCCCCUGGAGAAGUCUGUUUCAGGAGCAGGAGGGAUUCCUCGGCAUUGUGCCAUUUAAUAAUUAGAAAGGAAUGGGGCUCAAGAGAUCAGGAGUAGCAGGAGAGCUCCACAGUUGUACCCCGCCCUGAUGAAUUAUUCAGUAUUCUAAGGAGGGAGGUCAUCUUUCAUUUCUUAAGAGAUGAAAUCUCAACAUGGCUCCACUAAUGAGAAGCAACUACUACUAAAGAAAGUGUUCUUUUUUUUUUUUUUUUUUUUUUUUUCCCGAGACAGAGUCUUACUCUGUCACCCAGGCUGGAGUGCAGUGGCGCCAUCUUGACUCACUGAAACCUCCACCUCCCGGGUUCAAGUGAUUCUCCUGCCUCAGCCUCCCGAGUAGCUGGGAUUACAGGCACCUGCCAUCAUGCCCAGUUAAUUUUUGUAUUUUUGGUAGAGAUGGGGUUUCACCACGUUGGUCAGGCUGGUCUCAAUCUCCUGACCUCAGGUAAUCUGCCCGCCUUGGCCUCCCAAAGUGUAGGGAUUACAGGCGUGAGCCACCAUGCCUGGCCACAUUCAUUUUUAAGAAGGCUAACAGAUCAGGCCAAUAUAUCAAAAUUAAAGAAUAAUGCAUGAAUGCAUCAGGACAUGCAAAUUUAAUGAACACUUUAUUUCUGGGAAAGAAAAGUCAUGCAAAAAUGAAAUAGCUAUGAAAGUCAGGGACAUCAGAAUGCCACGUGGUGAAAAGAGGACUAUAUUAGGUAUCUAUUGCAGUGCAACAGAUUAUCCCCAAAACUUAGUGGAAAAGGGAGAAAGAGAAGGACAAGAAAAAGAAAAUCAAAUAGCUGCUCUGGUGGCCUAGGAAUGUUGCCUAAUAUCAAAACAAGGAACAAGGGAGGCCAAACCCUCAGGAUAUUUCAGGGCAAGAGAUGAUUGUGGCGGCCAGGCAUGGUGCUUUUUAAAGCUCCCAGGUGAUUGUGUCAGGCGUCAGGGUUGGGAAGCUUUAUUCCAGAGUGUGACUUGCCAAUCUACAUUUACUUUAGUCACAGUCAACAUGGUUAGUAGAGGUGUUGGGGGUGUAUAAUGAACACUCACCGAGCAUCAGUGAUGAAUCAGGUUCUGUGCUAGGGCUCUUUUGUAUAUUUCCUCAUUGAUUCCUCACCAUAGCCCCGGGCGAGCACACAGCACAACUGUAUUAUCACCAUUUAUAGAGGCAGGAACAGAGGCUAGAAAAGUUUAGUAAACUGAGACUUUCUCCUCCUCAUGAAGGAAAAUGGUGAGCAGUGGGCUGCAGAAAACAGUGUUUGGACUUAGAAAGCAGUGCCCCAAAGGAAGCACAAGUUUUGCCCUGACCUUAUCCUGCCCUCCUGUCUCAGUCCCAGUCUCCACCUAGGCUAGCCAUGGAAACUAGAAUCUUCGAGGUGAGUCAUAGAAACCAGGACCCCCUUUCUCCAAAGCCAGCCAUAAAACCUAAAAAUAUUACUCUGACAUUCCCCUGCCUUUCUGCGUAAAAACUGGCCACAAAGAAAUUAUCUGGCCUACUUUGUUUGACUGUAGGUCAUAAGACCCCCAUUCCAGUGAGGGUCCUGCCCAUAACCAGAAGGAAGGAAUGCUGAACAGAGGCCAAGAGGAACCUAGGCAGACAGGCCUUGCUGGAUCCCCACUCAGUCUAUUAGCGUUAGAUUAUAGCCUUUUUGUCGAAUCAUAUUUCUACAUGGCUGUCCAUACUUAAUUGAACCUAAGCUAUCAUACUUUGUUGAACAUGGACAAUUUCUUUGCAUCUUUGGGUCUUCAUUCUGAAGGCUCUCGUGUACACAUUAACAAUAAAUUGCAUGCCUUUUCUCCUAUUAAUCUACCUCUUGUCUGUGAUUUUCAGUAAACCUUCAGAGGACAAAGGGGAAAUUUUCACUUGGACCUCACAAGGACGAGGUUCAACCAGGGGGAGCAAUGAUGGGUGCUGGAAGGGGAAGUGAUGGGGGUGGGAGGGUAGAGGAGGGAAGAUCUCUAGGCUUAAAUCCAAGGCUGGGAUGUAAAUGUGGAGCUCUUUCUCCUUCUUUGCCCUUGGAACGUGGUGCUGUGGCUCUGAUAAGCUCCUACUGGGUGUUGAGUAACUUUGUGUGACAAGAGUAGAGAAACUGAGAAGAAGAGGCCCAGGAAGAAGGGUCAGGAAAUGCAGAUUUCAGGUCACUGAAGAGGCCAGGCCAGUGAGGACAGGGAUGAUCCUAUGGAACACGUCAAUGCUGCUCCAGGAGCAAAAAGAUCAUCUCAGGAUGGGGAGAAACUGGGUGCCUGGAGGCUUCAGGUUGCUGUUGUCAGCAGUUAUUGGAAAAUGUUUUAAAGCAAAUAUGCACAUGCCCACUCACCCAUGCACACACAUCUGCUUCUAGAAACAAACUGAAUUUCUUUGCUACAACAAAGUGGUCUCAUUACUUUAUUUACGUGGAAAAUGACAUAGAGAAUUCCCUCCCCAUAAGAGCUGCAAGUUCACCUUGAAAUGCAAAGUGAUUGAUUGUGCUACACCCACUUAGUUUCUCCUUUUCUGAACGUUUGACAUCAUUCAGUCUUUGCUGAUAGGGAAUCCUGCAGCUGUGUAUCUCCUCAUGUGGCCUCAAAAGCAUACCUGUUGGGGCCAUUACUUUACUCUGGUAAUUUGUAAGGCAUCUUGUGCUACCCUGGUAAAUGACUUGGGAAAGCCAUUGGUGCCCAAAGAAUGACUGAAAUCAGGAGCCAAGACAAACUUGGAAAUAUGGGCAUGGUGCUGGGUAACAAAUGAAAAUAAAGGAAACAAACCGACCACAAAAUCAACCUCAAAUGCCCUGCAUUGUGCCUUAGAGGCAAUGAAAUAGUAGUGCUGGCUUCCUAAAACAGGAACCCUUCACCAAGCAAGAACUGCGCAUUUCAGAGGCUGCAAGGUGCUCUUCUAAAUCACAAAAGAAGCAAGUGGAAGUGAGGUCAUUGUUAGAGGUCUGAGUUUGGGGUUAGAACAAGCCCGUGUCUAUGAUACUAGGCUUAGGCCUUAAGGAUGUUUCAAGACCUAGAGAGCUGUGCUUGGCUAGACCUUGUUGCCUCUCAUCACCGAAGCUAUUCCCAAGUACCACAGGCCCCUCUGGGAAAUUAAUGAUGGUUGGAGAGGAAGCCAGCUCCACAGUCAAGCUGGGGGCAUUUGAAGAGCCCAAGGUGAGGAAAUAAGGGAGCGUAUGAAUUAAAGAAGCAGAGUUUUUGCUUGGGUUCUGAUCUCUGAGGCAGUAUGUGGCUCAGAUAAAAACUCUGUGGAGCUAUUUCCUAUGCUGGAUGGAGUUCUCUCUCACAAUAGGAAAGCUUUAAGUACUGAAUGUAAAGUUCUCUAUCAGCUAUCUGGUGAAUCUCUCCUAUGCACAGUGUUGUAAUAUAUCCAGGUGAGAGGUGGAGCCCAAGGAGUGUCAUACAGGCUGGUUAUUCGUUUCCAGAAAAAACAGGUAAGAAUAUUUUUGUUUAAGAUGAAAAUCAAUGAAAGGCCUUUCUUAAGGGUUAUGGACUGAAUAUUUGUAUCUCCCCCUCCCCAAGCUUAUAUGUUGAAGCCCUAAUCCCCAGUGUGAGGGUAUUUGGAGAUGAAAUUUAUUGGGAGGUAAUUAGGGUUAGAUUAGGGCAUGAAAUUAGGGUCCUCAUGAUGGGAUGAAUGGCUUUAUAAGAAGAGGAAGAGAGAGAGGAAAAGGCCAUAUGGGACUUAAUGAGAAGGCAGCUGUCUGAAGCCAGGAGGAGAGACUUCACCAGAACCUGACCAUGCUGGCACCCUCAUCUUGUGUCCAGCCUCCAGAACUAUGAAAAAAUCAGCUUCUGUUGUUUAAGUCCCCAGUCUGUGGUAUUUUGUCAUGGCAUGCAAGCUGACUAGACAUUAAGUAUCCACCUUUGCUCAUGCUGGCCUGGGCUGUACUGAGAACAUCUAUCUUUUCAUUGACUUUAUCUGUCCCCAAAUGGAAUAUUCCUUCCCUAUGAUUGUGGCUUCUCCAGUGGGGAUCAGAUGGCCAGUCUAGUAGCAGGUAGGGUGGCAUCACAGGAAACUGACAUUUUGUAGGUCAAAAGUUAUAAAAAAAAAAAAAAGCCAUUGAAAAUUGCUGCCAUUUGGCCUAUAAAGUGGCUUUUCCAUGCAGUUGUAACAUACCUGGUAUUGUGUAUCUAGGUGUUGUGGGUGCCAAAAAUGUAAGAAGCACUUUUGUCUGCAGAAGAUUUAUAUUAUACCAGGAUUCAGCAAACUAUGACCCAUGGGCCAAGUCUGACCCAUCACUGGUAUUCGUAGUCUUCCUGGAACACAGCCACACCCACUUGUUUACUUAUUGUCUAUGGCUGUCUUCAUGCUACACCACCAGAGCUGAGUAGCUGAGCAAAGACUGCACCACCCACAAAACUUAAACUAUUUACCAUGUGACUGGUUAGAGAAAAAGUUUUCUGAGCCCUGCAUUACACAGUGUAAGUGUAAUGCAAGUGUAAUGCAAGUAAGACUCAAUGAUCACGCAUAAACACUGCCAUUUUUCUUAUUGCAAUUUCACACAUCUCCUACCUUACCUUUCUUACCUUUCAUCACUAUUUUUUUCACUCCUCUACUUGUUUGAAUUUCCAAAGUCUCUCCUUUCCCCACUCUUCAUGAUUCCUGCUUGUUUCUGGCCCCCAUUCCUUUCUACUCUCUUCUGUUUGCUUUUCCUUCUUCUCUUGAUUGGCUUCUGCUCUCCCAUCCUUGCCCAUCUCUUCCCACCUCUUCAUUCUCUUCUUCUUCCACUUUGUUCCUUCCUCUUUUCCUCUGUGCCUCCUCCAUGGAACUGGUUGGAUUCUUUGACUUAGGAUGGAUGGAUUGACUCACCUUCUCACCAUUCACGGCGGCCUUUCUGGCCCACACACAAUCUUGUGUAGAUUUUCCUCUUUAGAUCUUAUGUUUCUCUGAGGCAGGACUGAUAUUUAACUGGUAAGGAAGGUAGCCUUGUAAGAAUCGAUGUUUAUUUAGACUGUCUGCUCUGAUUGGUCAGUGUUGAAUUUUUUGCAAAUCAUUCUUGCCAUCAGAUCAUCUGUCUCAACCAGCCAGACAGCUCAAAAUUUAGAAAUGUUGCCCAGAUAUCUUUCUCUUAGAGACUCUAUGAAUUCCUGUUUGUGGGCUCAGCCUCUGGGGUUUUAAUGAGGCUCUUGUUGUUUUUAUAUCAUUGUGAGGCAGUGUCUAGAAUUCAGAAAUUAAGUCCAUUCAAAAUUAGGAUGGGUGUGUGUGCUGGGUGGUGCCUUUCUUCCCACAAAGCAAUGUGUUUUGAAUCUAAGAUAUUCUGUGGUCAAAUGCUUCUCAGAAGCAUGUACCAGUGGCUGCUAAAGACUUUCUUAUGCAAUACUGCUGAAAAAUACACCAAAAAACUGGGUAGUGUGGAGUCAUUUCUAAGCAAUUAUCAGUGAUACACCAAGCCUUGUCACACCACUCAUCAUUGAUGCCAGACUGACAAAAGACCUUAAAUUUCAGGGUUAUUAACCAUCACCCCAACCCAUGAUUGAAUUGAGAGGAAAUAGCCCCAGCACACAGCAGCCACAGACUUUGCUUGGCUUUGAAGAAUGUUGCCUAGAAUAUAUUUUAGUGACAAAGACUUGGCUGCAUUUACCAAUUUUUUCUUUUCUUUUUUUCUUUUUUUUAAGAGACAAGGUCUUCCCAUGUUGCCCAGGCUGGACUCAAACUCUUAGGCUCCAGGGAUCCUCCCACCUUGGCCUCCCAAGUAGCUGGCUGGGACUACAGGCACAUGUCACCAUGACUGACUUUGUCUAAAAUUUGAAUUUAUUCACCCUAAUUACUUUUCUUUCUCUUUAAAAUGUUCUUGUUAAAGCUGUGCUCCCUUUUUUCCAUGGUGAGUAUGGCAAUUCUGAUUUCUGUAUAUUUUUAAAACUUGUGGACAAACCACUUCAUCAUUGUAUCUAACAAUAAAAGUCAUAGGCCGGGUGCGGUGUCUCACGCCUGUAAUCCCAGCACUUUGGGAGGCCGAGGCAGGCGGAUCACGAGAUCAGGAGAUCGAGACCAUCCUGGCUAACAUGGUGAAACCCCAUCUCUACUAAAAAUACAAAAAAUUGGCCGGGUGUGGUGGCGGGCACCAGUAGUCCCA
This 10849-nucleotide long non-coding RNA is filed under the name Homo sapiens (human). RNAcentral's name for it is "non-protein coding lnc-CYP1B1-1:6". Lineage: Eukaryota; Metazoa; Chordata; Mammalia; Primates; Hominidae. The record is from RNAcentral.